UAGGGUUUCGGCGGCCCUGCCCCACUGCCUGGGGUGCCUGCCUAAGUCACUCAUAACCAAAGCGCGUGGCUGCCGGGCCCCGCCCUCGGUGCAUUGUUUCUCCCAGCGGCCCUGUCCAUACAUGCCUCACUUUUCUUUACAGACGAGGAGACCGGGGCACCGAGUGGCCUGGCAAGAGCUGUGAAGCCUCGGGAGUUGGAGCUAGAGCCGGAGUGCUCUCCAGAGAGGUGUGGCUGAGGUCCCCAGCUCUUUGGCCCACCCGCUCCCCUCCACUCAGCCUGCCUGCGGCCUCCGCAGGUGCAGAAACUCUCUGCGGCCACCAGGUGGAGGUAAGUGCUUGCGCCUGAUCAGGGCCCGGCAAUCCCUGACAUGGCCACGAGAUGGCGGCAACACUCCGGCUGUGCGCGGCUCUAGGCGGAUGGCACAAUCCCCGGGCCUGAAAGAGGCUGCUUUCCCAGCUGCAGCACCAUGGACGCUCAGAUCUGGCCUCUCCAGUGUCUCUGGGAAGACUCCGGAAGUUACUCCCGAGCCCACCAGCUCCAGGGGACCUCCUGCCCUAAUACCAAGCUUCCAAGCCGCCCAGCGCCCCUCACCCCAAUCUGGGGAGGACCCUCCACUCCCCAGGACGGGAUCCAGGCCUCCUCUGACCUCACACACAUCACACACAGAUGCACGCAGCUGCACCUCAUCCUGGACCGCGCGGCCCGCACCUGCACCCCGCCUACACGCGCCCUGGGGGAGCUCAGUACGCCCUGUGCUGCAUUCCGGAGUUGGCCCCUCUGCUGGCCGCACCACGCGAACAUGUCUGGGGGUUCUCAGCUUCCUCGCCCCACCCGAAGGGCACCCCCGCCCGCUGUCCCCAGGCUGUCCAAGCCUGCACCGGCACCGACCCUGUGUUCCUCCUUUCACCCCGCCUCCUGAGGGUGCCCCGAACCCAGGUUCCUCCUCACCCCCUCUCCAGGCCGGC
This 967-nucleotide long non-coding RNA is filed under the name Fukomys damarensis (Damara mole-rat). RNAcentral's name for it is "lncRNA (ENSFDAG00000031118.1)". Lineage: Eukaryota; Metazoa; Chordata; Mammalia; Rodentia; Bathyergidae. The record is from RNAcentral.